GCCGGCAUGGUGAAACGGUGUGAGCAUCGGACUAGAAAUCUGGAGACCAGGGUUCAAAUCCCUGCUCAGCCA
Non-coding RNA from Phrynosoma platyrhinos (Desert horned lizard), 72 nucleotides. NCBI's taxonomy places the organism in Eukaryota, Metazoa, Chordata, Lepidosauria, Squamata, Phrynosomatidae. The record is from the annotation of a GenBank genome assembly.